This 100-nucleotide ribosomal RNA is filed under the name uncultured bacterium. Its description in RNAcentral is "partial 16S ribosomal RNA". It matches the Rfam family "Bacterial small subunit ribosomal RNA", at positions 355 to 454 of the family's 1533-position model. The record is from RNAcentral.
UAGGGAAUUUUCGUCAAUGGGGGCAACCCUGAACGAGCAAUGCCGCGUGAGCGAAGAAGGUCUUCGGAUUGUAAAGCUCUGUUGCCGGGGAAAAAGGAGG